AGAGUUUGAUCCUGGCUCAGAACGAACGCUGGCGGCAUGCCUAACACAUGCAAGUCGAACGAGACCUUCGGGUCUAGUGGCGCACGGGUGCGUAACGCGUGGGAACCUGCCCUUAGGUUCGGAAUAACAGUUAGAAAUGACUGCUAAUACCGGAUAAUGUCUUCGGACCAAAGAUUUAUCGCCUUUGGAUGGGCCCGCGUUGGAUUAGCUAGUUGGUGGGGUAAAGGCCUACCAAGGCGACGAUCCAUAGCUGGUCUGAGAGGAUGAUCAGCCACACUGGGACUGAGACACGGCCCAGACUCCUACGGGAGGCAGCAGUGGGGAAUAUUGGACAAUGGGCGAAAGCCUGAUCCAGCAAUGCCGCGUGAGUGAUGAAGGCCUUAGGGUUGUAAAGCUCUUUUACUGGGGAUGAUAAUGACAGUACCCAGAGAAUAAGCUCCGGCUAACUCCGUGCCAGCAGCCGCGGUAAUACGGAGGGAGCUAGCGUUGUUCGGAAUUACUGGGCGUAAAGCGCACGUAGGCGGCGAUUCAAGUCAGAGGUGAAAGCCCGGGGCUCAACCCCGGAACUGCCUUUGAAACUAGAUUGCUAGAAUCCUGGAGAGGCGAGUGGAAUUCCGAGUGUAGAGGUGAAAUUCGUAGAUAUUCGGAAGAACACCAGUGGCGAAGGCGACUCGCUGGACANGUAUUGACGCUGAGGUGCGAAAGCGUGGGGAGCAAACANGAUUAGAUACCUGGUAGUCCACGCCGUAAACGAUGAUACUAGCUGUCCGGGUCA
RNAcentral lists this ribosomal RNA (775 nucleotides) under uncultured bacterium. RNAcentral's name for it is "bacterial SSU rRNA". It matches the Rfam family "Bacterial small subunit ribosomal RNA", at positions 8 to 831 of the family's 1533-position model. The record is from RNAcentral.